UGGUGGGUAGUUUGACUGGGGCGGUCUCCUCCCAAAGCGUAACGGAGGAGCACGAAGGUUAGCUAAUCCUGGUCGGACAUCAGGAGGUUAGUGCAAUGGCAUAAGCUAGCUUGACUGCGAGCGUGACGGCGCGAGCAGGUGCGAAAGCAGGUCAUAGUGAUCCGGUGGUUCUGAAUGGAAGGGCCAUCGCUCAACGGAUAAAAGGUACUCCGGGGAUAACAGGCUGAUACCGCCCAAGAGUUCAUAUCGACGGCGGUGUUUGGCACCUCGAUGUCGGCUCAUCACAUCCUGGGGCUGAAGUAGGUCCCAAGGGUAUGGCUGUUCGCCAUUUAAAGUGGUACGCGAGCUGGGUUUAGAACGUCGUGAGACAGUUCGGUCCCUAUCUGCCGUGGGCGCUGGAGAAUUGAGGGGGGCUGCUCCUAGUACGAGAGGACCGGAGUGGACGCAUCACUGGUGUUCGGGUUGUCAUGCCAAUGGC
Molecule: ribosomal RNA, 478 nt
Filed under: Klebsiella pneumoniae
Lineage: Bacteria; Pseudomonadati; Pseudomonadota; Gammaproteobacteria; Enterobacterales; Enterobacteriaceae
Description: partial 23S ribosomal RNA
Rfam family: Bacterial large subunit ribosomal RNA
Source: RNAcentral